GAUGAACGCUGGCGGCGUGCCUAAUACAUGCAAGUCGAGCGAACGGACGAGAAGCUUGCUUCUCUGACGUUAGCGGCGGACGGGUGAGUAACACGUGGAUAACCUACCUAUAAGACUGGGAUAACUUCGGGAAACCGGAGCUAAUACCGGAUAAUAUUUUGAACCGCAUGGUUCAAAAGUGAAAGACGGUUUUGCUGUCACUUAUAGAUGGAUCCGCGCUGCAUUAGCUAGUCGGUAAGGUAACGGCUUACCAAGGCAACGAUGCAUAGCCGACCUGAGAGGGUGAUCGGCCACACUGGAACUGAGACACGGUCCAGACUCCUACGGGAGGCAGCAGUAGGGAAUCUUCCGCAAUGGGCGAAAGCCUGACGGAGCAACGCCGCGUGAGUGAUGAAGGUCUUCGGAUCGUAAAACUCUGUUAUUAGGGAAGAACAAAUGUGUAAGUAACUAUGCACGUCUUGACGGUACCUAAUCAGAAAGCCACGGCUAACUACGUG
Molecule: ribosomal RNA, 497 nt
Filed under: uncultured bacterium
Lineage: Bacteria
Description: partial 16S ribosomal RNA
Rfam family: Bacterial small subunit ribosomal RNA
Source: RNAcentral